UGCAGUCGAGCGGACAGAAGGGAGCUUGCUCCCGGAUGUUAGCGGCGGACGGGUGAGUAACACGUGGGUAACCUGCCUGUAAGACUGGGAUAACUCCGGGAAACCGGAGCUAAUACCGGAUAGUUCCUUGAACCGCAUGGUUCAAGGAUGAAAGACGGUUUCGGCUGUCACUUACAGAUGGACCCGCGGCGCAUUAGCUAGUUGGUGGGGUAAUGGCUCACCAAGGCGACGAUGCGUAGCCGACCUGAGAGGGUGAUCGGCCACACUGGGACUGAGACACGGCCCAGACUCCUACGGGAGGCAGCAGUAGGGAAUCUUCCGCAAUGGACGAAAGUCUGACGGAGCAACGCCGCGUGAGUGAUGAAGGUUUUCGGAUCGUAAAGCUCUGUUGUUAGGGAAGAACAAGUGCGAGAGUAACUGCUCGCACCUUGACGGUACCUAACCAGAAAGCCACGGCUAACUACGUGCCAGCAGCCGCGGUAAUACGUAGGUGGCAAGCGUUGUCCGGAAUUAUUGGGCGUAAAGGGCUCGCAGGCGGUUUCUUAAGUCUGAUGUGAAAGCCCCCGGCUCAACCGGGGAGGGUCAUUGGAAACUGGGAAACUUGAGUGCAGAAGAGGAGAGUGGAAUUCCACGUGUAGCGGUGAAAUGCGUAGAGAUGUGGAGGAACACCAGUGGCGAAGGCGACUCUCUGGUCUGUAACUGACGCUGAGGAGCGAAAGCGUGGGGAGCGAACAGGAUUAGAUACCCUGGUAGUCCACGCCGUAAACGAUGAGUGCUAAGUGUUAGGGGGUUUCCGCCCCUUAGUGCUGCAGCUAACGCAUUAAGCACUCCGCCUGGGGAGUACGGUCGCAAGACUGAUACUCACAGGAAUUGACGGG
RNAcentral lists this ribosomal RNA (878 nucleotides) under Bacillus sp. NCCP-2673. Its description in RNAcentral is "bacterial SSU rRNA". It matches the Rfam family "Bacterial small subunit ribosomal RNA", at positions 56 to 917 of the family's 1533-position model. Lineage: Bacteria; Bacillati; Bacillota; Bacilli; Caryophanales; Bacillaceae. The record is from RNAcentral.